Molecule: ribosomal RNA, 247 nt
Filed under: uncultured bacterium
Lineage: Bacteria
Description: partial 16S ribosomal RNA
Rfam family: Bacterial small subunit ribosomal RNA
Source: RNAcentral
CACGUAGGGCGCGAGCGUUGUCCGGAAUUAUUGGGCGUAAAGAGCUCGUAGGCGGCCUGUUGCGUCCGCUGUGAAAGCCCGGGGCUUAACCCCGGGUCGGCAGUGGAUACGGGCAGGCUAGAGGUAGGUAGGGGAGAAUGGAAUUCCCGGUGUAGCGGUGAAAUGCGCAGAUAGUCGGGAGGAACACCGGUGGCGAAGGCGGUUCUCUGGGCCUUACCUGACGCUGAGGAGCGAAAGCGUGGGGAGC